RNAcentral lists this unclassified non-coding RNA (378 nucleotides) under plant metagenome. Its description in RNAcentral is "partial contains 5.8S ribosomal RNA, internal transcribed spacer 2, and large subunit ribosomal RNA". The stretch from base 1 to 107 matches the Rfam family "5.8S ribosomal RNA", at positions 48 to 154 of the family's 154-position model. The record is from RNAcentral.
GCGAAAUGCGAUAAGUAAUGUGAAUUGCAGAAUUCAGUGAAUCAUCGAAUCUUUGAACGCACCUUGUGCUCCUUGGUAUUCCUUGGAGCAUGCCUGUUUGAGUAUCAUGAAAUCUUCAAAGUAAAUCUUUUGUUAACUCAAUUGGUUUCUACUUUGGUAUUGGAGGUCUUUGCAGCUUCACACCUGCUCCUCUUUGUUCAUUAGCUGGAUCUCAGUGUUAUGCUUGGUUCCACUCGGCGUGAUAAGUUAUCUAUCGCUGAGGACACUGUAAAAGGUGGCCAAGGUAAAUGCAGAUGAACCGCUUCUAAUAGUCCAUUGACUUGGACAAUACUUUUAUGAUCUGAUCUCAAAUCAGGUAGGACUACCCGCUGAACUUAA